This 161-nucleotide ribosomal RNA is filed under the name uncultured bacterium. RNAcentral describes it as "partial 16S ribosomal RNA". It matches the Rfam family "Bacterial small subunit ribosomal RNA", at positions 355 to 509 of the family's 1533-position model. The record is from RNAcentral.
UGGGGAAUUUUGGACAAUGGGCGCAAGCCUGAUCCAGCCAUGCCGCGUGCAGGAUGAAGGCCUUCGGGUUGUAAACUGCUUUUGUACGGAACGAAAAAGCUCUCUCUAAUACAGGGGUGAAUGACGGUACCGUAAGAAUAAGCACCGGCUAACUACGUGCC